CGAAACCGAGUGAUCUAGCCAUGGGCAGGUUGAAGGUUGAGUAACAUCAACUGGAGGACCGAACCGACUAAUGUUGAAAAAUUAGCGGAUGACUUGUGGCUAGGGGUGAAAGGCCAAUCAAACUCGGAGAUAGCUGGUUCUCCCCGAAAGCUAUUUAGGUAGCGCCUCGGACGAAUACUACUGGGGGUAGAGCACUGUUAAGGCUAGGGGGUCAUCCCGACUUACCAACCCUUUGCAAACUCCGAAUACCAGUAAGUACUAUCCGGGAGACACACGGCGGGUGCUAACGUCCGUCGUGGAGAGGGAAACAACCCAGACCGCCAGCUAAGGUCCCAAAUUACAGCUAAGUGGGAAACGAUGUGGGAAGGCUUAGACAGCUAGGAUGUUGGCUUAGAAGCAGCCAUCAUUUAAAGAAAGCGUAAUAGCUCACUAGUCGAGUCGGCCUGCGCGGAAGAUGUAACGGGGCUAAGUUGUAAACCGAAGCUGCGGCAAUGUUCUUUGAACAUUGGGUAGGGGAGCGUUCUGUAAGCCGUUGAAGGUGUGUUGUAAAGCAUGCUGGAGGUAUCAGAAGUGCGAAUGCUGACAUGAGUAACGACAAGGGGGGUGAAAAACCUCCCCGCCGGAAGACCAAGGGUUCCUGUCCAACGUUAAUCGGGGCAGGGUAAGUCGACCCCUAAGGCGAGGCCGAAAGGCGUAGUCGAUGGGAAACGGGUUAAUAUUCCCGUACUUCUUACAAUUGCGAUGGGGGGACGGAGAAGGCUAGGUGGGCCUGGCGACGGUUGUCCAGGUUCAAGUGCGUAGGCUGAGUGUUUAGGUAAAUCCGGACACUCUUAAGGCUGAGACACGACGUCGAGCUACUACGGUAGUGAAGUCAUUGAUGCCAUGCUUCCAGGAAAAGCCUCUAAGCUUCAGAUUGUAAGGAAUCGUACCCCAAACCGACACAGGUGGUCGGGUAGAGAAUACCAAGGCGCUUGAGAGAACUCGGGUGAAGGAACUAGGCAAAAUGGUACCGUAACUUCGGGAGAAGGUACGCUCUUGAUGGUGAAGUCCCUUGCGGAUGGAGCUGACGAGAGUCGCAGAUACCAGGUGGCUGCAACUGUUUAUUAAAAACACAGCACUGUGCAAAAUCGUAAGAUGACGUAUACGGUGUGACGCCUGCCCGGUGCCGGAAGGUUAAUUGAUGGGGUUAGCGUAAGCGAAGCUCUUGAUCGAAGCCCCGGUAAACGGCGGCCGUAACUAUAACGGUCCUAAGGUAGCGAAAUUCCUUGUCGGGUAAGUUCCGACCUGCACGAAUGGCGUAAUGAUGGCCACGCUGUCUCCACCCGAGACUCAGUGAAAUUGAAAUCGCUGUGAAGAUGCAGUGUACCCGCGGCUAGACGGAAAGACCCCGUGAACCUUUACUACAGCUUGGCACUGAACAUUGAACCUACAUGUGUAGGAUAGGUGGGAGGCUUUGAAGACGUGACGCCAGUUGCGUUGGAGCCGUCCUUGAAAUACCACCCUUGUAUGUUUGAUGUUCUAACGUUGGCCCCUAAUCGGGGUUGCGGACAGUGCCUGGUGGGUAGUUUGACUGGGGCGGUCUCCUCCCAAAGAGUAACGGAGGAGCACGAAGGUGGGCUAAUCACGGUUGGACAUCGUGAGGUUAGUGCAAUGGCAUAAGCCCGCUUAACUGCGAGAAUGACGGUUCGAGCAGGUGCGAAAGCAGGUCAUAGUGAUCCGGUGGUUCUGAAUGGAAGGGCCAUCGCUCAACGGAUAAAAGGUACUCCGGGGAUAACAGGCUGAUACCGCCCAAGAGUUCAUAUCGACGGCGGUGUUUGGCACCUCGAUGUCGGCUCAUCACAUCCUGGGGCUGAAGUCGGUCCCAAGGGUAUGGCUGUUCGCCAUUUAAAGUGGUACGCGAGCUGGGUUUAGAACGUCGUGAGACAGUUCGGUCCCUAUCUGCCGUGGGCGUUGGAAGAUUGAAGGGGGCUGCUCCUAGUACGAGAGGACCGGAGUGGACGAACCUCUGGUGUUCGGGUUGUGUCGCCAGACGCAUUGCCCGGUAGCUAAGUUCGGAAUCGAUAACCGCUGAAAGCAUCUAAGCGGGAAGCGAGCCCUGAGAUGAGUCUUCCCUGAUACUUUAAGUAUCCUGAAGGGUUGUUCGAGACUAGAACGUUGAUAGGCAGGGUGUGUAAGCGCUGUGAGGCGUUGAGCUAACCUGUACUAAUUGCCCGUGAGGCUUAACCAUACAACACCCAAAGGGUUUUG
Molecule: ribosomal RNA, 2247 nt
Filed under: Vibrio vulnificus
Lineage: Bacteria; Pseudomonadati; Pseudomonadota; Gammaproteobacteria; Vibrionales; Vibrionaceae
Description: partial 23S ribosomal RNA
Rfam family: Bacterial large subunit ribosomal RNA
Source: RNAcentral